Non-coding RNA from Oryctolagus cuniculus (rabbit), 1865 nucleotides. The record is from RefSeq and is a predicted model, not a curated record. Lineage: Eukaryota; Metazoa; Chordata; Mammalia; Lagomorpha; Leporidae.
UUAUACGUGCUCCUUGGUCCCUGGAAAUCUGCAAGAAUAAAGACCACAGAAAGACCAGCAAGUAAUAUAAAAUAACGACAUCAUCUUUCCAAAAUUAUCUAUUAACUGUCCUCAACUGAACAAAGGAAGUCAACUGUUAGGUGCUUAUAAAGACCAACAUCAGGAAAAUCCUCAACAUCCUUCUCUGUUCCCUCCUUCCCCCCAGCUCCACACAGGUAGAGUUAUAGACAGUGAGAAAGAGAGACAGAGAGAAAGGUCUUCCUUCUGCUGGUUCACUCUCCAAAUGGCCGCUAUGGCCGGUGCUGCGCCGAUCAGAAGCUGGGAACCAGGUGCUUCUUCCUGGUCUCCCAUGAGGGGGCAGGAGCCCAAACACUCGAGCCAUCCUCCACUGCCUUCCUGGGUCACAGCAGAGAGCUGGACUGGAAGAGGAACAACCGGGACUAGAAUCCGGCGCUGAACUCUGACUUCUGUAACUCAAAAGUAUAUAUACAACUAUGUGCAGGUAUAUGGAAAAUCCAUGUAUAUGACAAACAUGUAUGUAUAGAUCUACCUAUAAUAUAUGUCAGAAAACAUAUACACAAAUGUCACAUACUUGUGUGUUUGAAUAUAUCUGUAACUCUAUUACUUCUGUACAUCUUCAAACUUGAUCUUUUGAACUACAACUAGCAAUUUAGUUUAAAAGCUAAUGUGUACAUAAUAGUUACAAUGUGUUAGGCAUAUGCUAAUAUGUGUCAAUUUAUUUAAAUCUCACUUCAACUUUAUCAAAAAGGUACAACUAUUGCCCUAAAAUUAGGGAAUAUAAGGCAGGAAAAAUAGGUGACUUGCUUAGGGCCAUGGGUUUGGAAAGAUGUAAAGUCAGGAUUCAAACUUAGGGGGUAUGGCUACAGAAUUGGAACUAUUUGCUAUUUGCUAUGCUGUCUCUAGGAACCAGCUCUGGAAUUCUGCCACACAGUUCCAAAUAACAUAUCAACACUAAGCAUUCUAGAAUGGCCAAUGGAUGGCAAGCCCAAGAUUUACUGGAACCAGAUCCAGUUCAAUUUCUGAUCACUCAAGCUAAUCAAAAGCUCAAGCAGGUACCCACAAUCGCUGAUGGGAAAAGGAUGGAAGAAGUAGAAAUAUCUCCGGCCUUGAUAGCCUCCUGGGCUCUGUUCCUCAUCACCUGUCUGCUCUGAAGAUUCUGCUCCCUCUAGUUUGUCAUUAAAUGUUGAAAUUCCAAAAGACUUACUAUAAAGUUUUCAUUUCUAUAUUCUUCCUGCUCUAUAAUCUCUAUAGAAACACCUCUACAGACAUGGCUUCUAAUACCUGCUUUAACUCCCAAAUGUGUAUCUGAAAUUCCAAGCUCCUUGAACUGAAAAUAAAAACUAUUUAUUCCAUAGCUCUACUUGAAAAAUCAGAAAUGUAUCUCCAACAAAAAAUAUUGAAUUAUUUUAGUUCCAAUGAAAAUCAAUUGGACUGAUUUGGAGAGUCUCCAUCUGUUCCAAAUUGUGUUGUGGGUACUACAGCUUCAGAGUACAUCGUCCAAACUCAUUCUGAAAAAAAAAAAAAAAAAAAGAUUUAUUUAUUUGAAGGUCAGAGUUACAGAAAGAGGAGAGGCAGAGAGAUUGAGAGAGAGAGAGAGAGAGGGAGGUCUUCCAUCCACUGGUUCACUCCCCAAUUGACCACAACGGCCAGAGCUGCGCUGAUCCAAAGAAGAGCUAUACCGAUCCGAAGCCAGGAGCCAGGAGCUUCUUCCAGGUCUCCCAUGUGGGUGCAGGGGCCCAAGGACUUGGGCCAUCCUCCACUGCUUUCCCAGGCCAUAGCAGAGAGCUGGAUUGGAAGUGGAGCAGCUAGGUGUCAAACCAGCAUUCAUAUGGGAUACCAGCACU